Molecule: long non-coding RNA, 667 nt
Organism: Zingiber officinale
Lineage: Eukaryota; Viridiplantae; Streptophyta; Magnoliopsida; Zingiberales; Zingiberaceae
Exons: 3
Source: RefSeq, a predicted model, not a curated record
UUCUUUCUCGCCGAAAAAAAAACCCCCUGCGCGCCUCUCUUCUCCCUCACUCCCGAGCCCUAGGUGCCGACGCCGAGCCCUAACUGCCGGCCGACGGUUUCUUCCUCGCUGAAGUUUUAAACCCCUCGGCCACCUCCUUUUCUGCUUUCUCCUCAUCUCCCUCGUGCGCACACCCUGCUCUCCUCCUUGCCCUAAUCGCCGACGCCCCCUCCUCACUGCCGCCGUGACGCCAAGCGCCACUGCACAGAGCCGGCGCCACCGCCGGCCACCCCGUACCCUAGCCGAGCCCUUGCUCACUUGCAGUGCCCUCUCGCCACUGUCUUGUGCCCCAGCGCCGGCCGCCGUUACCUGUGCCCUAACGCCGGCCUCAUCUUCACUCUCUUCCCGAGCCUUUCUUUCCUCUUCUACCCUCUGCCCCAACGUCCACUGCCGACGCUAAGGUCCAGCAACCUUCUGUCGUGCUUUAGACUCCACUGGCGGGUCUUUCUUCUUCGCCACCAGUCGCCGGCAGAGAGGAAACAGAGGGUGACGAGUAGCAGCCAACAGCCCUUAGCGGCGCAAUUUCCGCUAUCAACUCUUUGAUUCCAGUUCAAAACAGUGGCUGUGAAGUUAGGACCUUGACGCGAGACGAGUAUCUCGACGUCGUGUUCGAACCAGAUUGGACAUU